UAACCGCUGAAAGCAUCUAAGCGGGAAACCUUCUCCAAGAUCAGGUUUCUCACCCUUUUAGAGGGAUAAGGCCCCCCGCAGACCACGGGAUCGAUAGGCCAGACCUGGAAGCUCAGCAAUGAGUGCAGGGAACUGGCACUAACCGGCCGAAAACUUACCAACACACAA
This 168-nucleotide ribosomal RNA is filed under the name Mycobacterium sp. E3247. RNAcentral's name for it is "partial 23S ribosomal RNA". It matches the Rfam family "Bacterial large subunit ribosomal RNA", at positions 2765 to 2925 of the family's 2925-position model. The record is from RNAcentral. Lineage: Bacteria; Bacillati; Actinomycetota; Actinomycetes; Mycobacteriales; Mycobacteriaceae.